GAAAUGCGAUAAGUAGUGUGAAUUGCAGAAUUCAGUGAAUCAUCGAAUCUUUGAACGCACAUUGCGCCCUUUGGUAUUCCAAAGGGCAUGCCUGUUCGAGCGUCAUGUGUACCCUCAAGCUUUGCUUGGUGUUGGGCGUCUUGUCUCUAGCUUUGCUGGAGACUCGCCUUAAAGUAAUUGGCAGCCGGCCUACUGGUUUCGGAGCGCAGCACAAGUCGCACUCUCUAUCAGCAAAGGUCUAGCAUCCAUUAAGCCUUUUUUUCAACUUUUGACCUCGGAUCAGGUAGGGAUACCCGCUGAACUUAAGC
RNAcentral lists this unclassified non-coding RNA (308 nucleotides) under plant metagenome. Its description in RNAcentral is "partial contains 5.8S ribosomal RNA, internal transcribed spacer 2, and large subunit ribosomal RNA". The stretch from base 1 to 105 matches the Rfam family "5.8S ribosomal RNA", at positions 50 to 154 of the family's 154-position model. The record is from RNAcentral.